Syngnathoides biaculeatus (alligator pipefish) is the source of this 1993-nucleotide long non-coding RNA. RefSeq lists it as uncharacterized. The record is from RefSeq and is a predicted model, not a curated record. NCBI's taxonomy places the organism in Eukaryota, Metazoa, Chordata, Actinopteri, Syngnathiformes, Syngnathidae. The transcript is spliced from 3 exons.
GCAAGACUUUAAGGACUCAAGGCCCGAGUCAUGCUGAAACAUAAAGUAUCCUUGGCGCUCUCUCAUUCGUCUCCUUUGGUCCGCCGGAUGUUGGCCCGACUCUUCCCCUGCAGACUCGCGUUCUGGCUCCUCCUGCUGGUGGUUUCCUGACAGUAGUUUUUCCACCAACUGCCUCUGAGUCCUGUCGUCUCCGCAUCCUCCUUGCAGUUAGCACCGUCUAAAACAUUCCAUUCUUGCACCACAUACCCUGUUUCGUUCCACCAGUCACACGCUCAGCACUUUACAGUCUCACACUUUCAUACACAGGAUGCAGCAACAUCUAAUGAACUACUUUAAGCUCAAACUCUUAUAUUCCUUUAUUAUGAAAAAAAAAAGACUGUUCACCAUCAUGAUGGCAAAUCCAAUUGAAUUACAUUUACGAUUAAGGGUUGGAAGUCUCAACGCCUGCAAGAAGAUUAAUCUAACGUAUGAAACAGACUACAAAGCCAUCAGCAAAACCGUCCAGCACUAAAAGUUGCAUCAAUUCAGAGGAUAUACAACUGGCCGCACCCAUCUUUGGACCUCCCCUUGGUUUCUCCCGAAGGCGAAGGUCCUCUUGGAAAGAUGGAGAUCCGACAUACAUUGAUGCAAUUCGCAUCCCACAAGGCGUACCAGAUGAGUAUAAUUUGGCUAACCAGAUUGCUGCAGGAUGGGAAUCCAUCUUGUUAUGGCUAACCCAUAAUAAAAACGUUGACAGAAUCAACUACAUACAUUACAAUGUAGAGAACCUCGGCAAGUAUACAAAACCAGGCUUUAUUCCCAUCAGGGAACAACCACCUAGAACCUCACUCAUUGCGUUGCAGAACCGCAUAGCGGUCGACAUACUCUUGGCCAAGAAGGGUGGUGUCUGCUCAUUGUUCGGUGACCAGUGUUGCUUAUUCCAAAUAUCACAGCACCUGAUGGGUCUCUCACAAGAGCCAUUCAAGGCGUCCGCACUUUGAACCACAAGAUGAAGGAGCACUCUGGUGUGAACACAUAAGCCUGGUCUAAGCGGUGGAAAAAAAAAAAAAAGUUUGGCAAAUCUAAAAAACUUGAUGUUCUCUGUCCUAGUUUCUAUAGCUGUGUUUGCACCUACUCUUACAUUGUGUGGAUAUUCUUGUAUUCCCUGCAUAAGGGCAUCACUUAACCGACUUAUAACCACUGCUAUUACCCCGACAAAUUCAAAAUUGUCAGAAAUAUAUCCACUAUUGGCACAACAGGGUAAUGACAGUGAUAUUGUUGACCCCCAUUAUGACGUUAUGACUUGUCUUCCAGACCUGUUCUCUGAUGCAGACGAUUCCAAGUAAUUAGUGCUAUAUUUUCCUCUUAGUGUAACUAUGUUUGUUUUAAUAAAUGUGAUUCUGUAGAAUGAAGCCGAAAAGAUGGUCUAUUAGAUGAUGUGAGGAUUUGAGCAAAUAUAGGAUAAACAGGAUAAUGUAGAUAUAAAUAUAAUUAACUGCUUCUGCCUGCAAUGAAGAAAUGCUUUGCUCUGCUCCAAUUCAGUUACUGUUCCUACCUGCAAUGAAGAAUGCUUUGCUCUGCUCUAGAAAACGUGGUAGCAAAUGUAGGAUAAACAGGGGGGAAAUGUAGGAAUUAAUAUAAUUACCAUACAUCUGCUUCCAAUAAAGAAAUGCUUUGCUCUUCUCUUGAUAAUGUGACAGCCGCCGAGCAGGAGAUAACAAGAACAGAAACAUCUAAUCAUCAAAACUGUAAGAACCAGGAGCACCUCCUGCCUGUUAAAGAAAUGACCACACAUGUAUUCAGCAAUCUUCCACACACAUCCACACAUACAUGAACAAACAAGUCCACGUUGUUUCCAACUAUGUUUUGCUUGCCAUCUCCUUUUUGUAACAUCCAUGUAAAUAAGGGGCGUCUUGAAACUAAAUAAAUAGUGGUGCUCAGGAGAGGAUAAUCAGAGAGUGGGGUGGCGAAUUGUACGAGACAGUUCCUCUCCUCAUGAGCUGUCAAACUUGAA